Long non-coding RNA from Pundamilia nyererei, 2510 nucleotides. RefSeq lists it as uncharacterized. Lineage: Eukaryota; Metazoa; Chordata; Actinopteri; Cichliformes; Cichlidae. The record is from RefSeq and is a predicted model, not a curated record. The transcript has 3 exons.
UUCCUUUCCUCACCGAUCUCCCUGCACCGAGCAGCAGCAGGAAAAAACAAACCCUGCGCAGUCCUACAAAGCUAGCUUUAGUUCUUCGUUGUAUUUCAGGUUUACUGAAGGCACUUUAAUCGACCAAAGCGAGCGCGUGGAACACCUGGGUCCCUCCACGGACGACGGGAGAUUAAUGGAGAGACAUAAACACCACAGCUGGACAGAACGUCAUUCUGCCAUGUCAAGCUCCAAACUACAACAUCAUAGUUGCAGAUUGGAGCAGAGCUGACCUGGGAUCAGAAUAUGUCCUUUUGUACCGGGAUGAUCUGUUUGUUCCAGACAACCAGCAUCCAUCUUUUAAGAACCGGGUGGAUCUGCAGGACAGACAGAUGAAGGAUGGUGACGUGUCUCUGAUUCUGAAGGAUGUGACGAUUAAUGAUAGUGGAGCAUACGAGUGUCGUGUCCUCCAGAGAGGAAACAACCGUGGGAAAAGAGCUGUGUUGAAGAACAACCCCAUCAGCAUCAUCUACCUGAGUGUUGUUGAUCCUCCAGCUCAGACAGGAGGACACACAGAGGAUGGACAGGAGGAGGACAGAGUCAAUAGAGGACGUCCUGGUCUGUCAGCUUUUGGUGUGUUUUGUGUUCUUAUAGCUGCUUUUGUGAUCUCUGGAAAAUUGAGAAACAAGAAUUCCUCACUUGCUCCGCCUGAACAACAGCAAGCCUAAAAAGAAGAAGCUCUUCGCUUUUUUUCCUCUUUCUUUGUCUUCAGACAAACCAGUUUACUGUAGCAGUACACACAUGUCAUGGCAUCCCUGCAGAUUCAGCUUUAAAUAUGACCACAACAAAGCGUUUCAUUAUUGCUACAUAAGGGGCUCUCAUACAGGACAUCAGUUUCAGUCACGUGUCUCUGAAAUUUGCUCUGACUAAAUGAACACGUGAAUUUUGUCAGAUUAAGUUACUGUGUAAUCUCAGAGGUUAAACUGAGGUCCAGAAGUGUCUGAUGUGGUUGUAGAGCACCCUGAGAGAACAUACAAUGAUGUUACAUGAUUUAUUUAUUGGACACGGAAGCAGUGAUUAUUUUUCUCUGCUGUUAUGAAGUGUUUAAUGUUAAAGGUGAAAUCAGAAGUUUCCACCUUUAAGAUUGUGUGAUCCUCUGAUUACUCUGAAGUGCUGAGCUAAGCCAUGCUGUGGUUUUACUCUGUGAAAGGGAAAGUUUGUUAACUCAUGUUCGUGUUUUGAAAGUAUUUGAAGGUAUCCUGUAACCCGAGCUGUUAGAUUCAUGCAGAUUAAUGCUGAGAGUAAAAUUGCUUCUUUCAUGGAUGUGACCAUCUUUUAUGUCAUACCUUUCUUUCGUCUUUCUCAAUCAAUUUGGGGCCUUAUUUUUCCUCUGCUGGUCCUGUCUUCUGCGGCGUGCCUCAAGGAUCUGUCCUUGGUCCCCUGCUCUUCUCACUGUAUAUGCUUCUCUUAGGCGCAAUCUUUGAGAAGUACAACAUCCUUGUUAUGCCAGUGACAUACAGAUCUAUUUUGAAUUAACUGAUGAUCGUUCCAUGUCUGUGCACUGUUUUUGUGAGUGUAUGUGUGAGGUCAAAGAUUGGCUCUCUGGUAACUCCCUUAGCUUAAAUAACAGGAAAACCAAAAUGACAUUAAUAUCCCUCGCGGGCAACUCCGUGACGCCUUUGGUUCCUUGUUAGUGACCUAGGUGUGUUUUUUGGAUAGCUCAUUUAAAUUUGACAAACAAGUGUCUUCUGUUGUCAAAUUCUGCUUCCAUCAAUUGCGUCUUAUUCGCAAGGCCAGACAUUAUGUCCCUCAUAGGGACCUGGAGGGGCCUUUGUGGCAUCUAGGUUGGAUUACUGCAACUCCCUUUACUUUGGUCUUAACUCUACUCUUCUCCAUAGACUGCAGAUUGUUCCGAAUGCGGCAGCUCGUCUCCUUACUGGUACCGGGCAGGAGUCUCUAUUACCCCCAUCCUUGCUGACCUGCAUUGGGUUCCCGUUAAGUAUCGCAUUCAAUUCAAAAUCCUGCUGCUCACCUUUAGAACUAUUAACAAUAUAGCGCCAAGUUACCUCGAUGAACUACAUAGCUCAUACACCCCUGCUAGGGUACUAAGAUCAUCUUCCCAGUCACUUUUGUACAGCUGAGAUCCCGACUGAAGACUAGAGGUGGCCGCACGUUUACCUUGGCUGCACACGAUUUGUGGAAUAACCUCCCCAUUACUAUCCGAUUCCAUUCAAUCCUUCAAAUCGCGGUUAAAAACCUAUUUAUUUAAUCGUCCUAUUCUUAACUACUAAUUAUUUUUAGAUGUUCAUUGACUCUUUUAUCUGUUAGACAUAUUGUUCUGUUAUGCUUUUAUUUGUAUUUAUUUUGUUUUUGUGUUUUUUACGGCAUCAACCUGCGAGCAUGUUUGGUACUUUUCCAUGGCCUUCAUCUGUCUCUAUUAUUAUAUCUGACCCUCUUGUAUGUUCAGCACUUUGGCAUACUCCUGGUUGUUAAAUGUGCUAUAUCAAUAAAGUUUGUUGUUGCUGUUGUAA